Camelus ferus (Wild Bactrian camel) is the source of this 73-nucleotide transfer RNA. It matches the Rfam family "tRNA". Rfam says of the family: Transfer RNA (tRNA) molecules are approximately 80 nucleotides in length. Their secondary structure includes four short double-helical elements and three loops (D, anti-codon, and T loops). Further hydrogen bonds mediate the characteristic L-shaped molecular structure. tRNAs have two regions of fundamental functional importance: the anti-codon, which is responsible for specific mRNA codon recognition, and the 3' end, to which the tRNAs corresponding amino acid is attached (by aminoacyl-tRNA synthetases). tRNAs cope with the degeneracy of the genetic code in two manners: having more than one tRNA (with a specific anti-codon) for a particular amino acid; and 'wobble' base-pairing, i.e. permitting non-standard base-pairing at the 3rd anti-codon position. NCBI's taxonomy places the organism in Eukaryota, Metazoa, Chordata, Mammalia, Artiodactyla, Camelidae. The record is from Rfam.
GGAGGGUUGAGCUCAGUGGUAGAGUGUGUGCUUACCAUGUACAAGGUCCUGGGUUCAAUCCCUAGUCUCUCCA